Molecule: ribosomal RNA, 253 nt
Filed under: uncultured bacterium
Lineage: Bacteria
Description: partial 16S ribosomal RNA
Rfam family: Bacterial small subunit ribosomal RNA
Source: RNAcentral
UACAGAGGUCUCAAGCGUUGUUCGGAUUCAUUGGGCGUAAAGGGUGUGUAGGUGGCGCCGUAAGUCGGGUGUGAAAUCUCGGGGCUUAACUCCGAAACUGCAUUCGAUACUGGCGUGCUUGAGGACUGGAGAGGAGACUGGAAUUUACGGUGUAGCAGUGAAAUGCGUAGAUAUCGUAAGGAAGACCAGUGGCGAAGGCGGGUCUCUGGACAGUUCCUGACACUGAGACACGAAGGCCAGGGGAGCAAACGGG